Non-coding RNA from Gekko japonicus, 72 nucleotides. The record is from the annotation of a RefSeq genome assembly. Lineage: Eukaryota; Metazoa; Chordata; Lepidosauria; Squamata; Gekkonidae.
GGGGCUGUGGCUUAGUGGCAGAGUAUCUGUUUUGUAUGCAGAAGGUCCCGGGUUCAAUCCCUGGCACCUUCG